Long non-coding RNA from Planococcus citri (citrus mealybug), 550 nucleotides. RefSeq lists it as uncharacterized. The transcript is spliced from 2 exons. NCBI's taxonomy places the organism in Eukaryota, Metazoa, Arthropoda, Insecta, Hemiptera, Pseudococcidae. The record is from RefSeq and is a predicted model, not a curated record.
UUAUCAGUACUAAUCAAUUAACAAAAACAUUCUAUGAUUCUACUGCUCUCAUUUUAUGUUACUUGAGUCUUGAAUCAAGUCAGUGGACAGAUUUUUUAGUAUUCAUGUGUUCAAACCCAACCGCAAUAAUGGAAUUCAAAAUGUCCAGCGAAAGCGAGAGCAAAAUCCUCGAAGAAAGUGAUGGUCAUUUUCGAAGGUAAGGGACUGAGAAGUUUCAAAUUAUAGUUUAAAUCCGAGUUUCAAUUGUUACAAAAUAUUAUUCUAAUCCAAACUCAUUUUUAGCUACGAUUCGUUAUCACAAUGUACAAUUUGUUCAAAGUUGAACCCAACAUAUUAUGACAGAAGAUUUAGAUAACCAUAGAUAGCCAGUGACAGCGAAGAGAAAACAUAAUUCUUGAAAGAACCCUAGCAUUUUCAAAACAAGCAUUUGUUAUUAAACUGAGGAAUUUACCUUCGGAUCUGUAUUGGACCAUGGUUUUUUCGGAGUCGUUGUACAGACAUCAGGGAAAUCAGACACACCACCAACCGAAACUCCCAAGGUAAUAUAAAA